RNAcentral lists this ribosomal RNA (605 nucleotides) under uncultured bacterium. Its description in RNAcentral is "bacterial SSU rRNA". It matches the Rfam family "Bacterial small subunit ribosomal RNA", at positions 888 to 1498 of the family's 1533-position model. The record is from RNAcentral.
GCAAGAUUAAAACUCAAAGGAAUAGACGGGGACCCGCACAAGUGGUGGAGCAUGUGGUUUAAUUCGAAGAUACGCGAAGAACCUUACCUAGCCUUGACAUUGAUAGAACACAGUAGAGAUACAGUGGUGCCUUUCGGGGAGCUUGAAAACAGGUGCUGCACGGCUGUCGUCAGCUCGUGUCGUGAGAUGUUGGGUUAAGUCCCGCAACGAGCGCAACCCUCGUCACUAGUUACUAACGAUUCGGUCGAGGACUCUAGUGAGACUGCCUUCGUAAGGAGGAGGAAGGUGAGGACGACGUCAAGUCAUCAUGGCCCUUACGGCUAGGGCGACACACGUGCUACAAUGGGCAGGACAGUGAGACGCAAUACCGCGAGGUGGAGCAAAUCUAUAAACCUGCUCUCAGUUCGGAUUGUUCUCUGCAACUCGAGAACAUGAAGCUGGAAUCACUAGUAAUCGUAGAUCAGCCAUGCUACGGUGAAUACGUUCCCGGGUCUUGUACUCACCGCCCGUCACACCAUGGGAGUUGAUUUCACCCGAAGCGGGGAAGCUAAACUGGCUACCCUCCACGGUGGAAUUAGCGACUGGGGUGAAGUCGUAACAAGGUA